AGCAGCCGCGGUAAUUCCAGCUCCAAUAGCGUAUAUUAAAGUUGUUGCAGUUAAAAAGCUCGUAGUUGAAUUUCGGGGUCAGUAGGUUGGUCAUGCCUCCGGUAUGUACUGGUCUCACUGAUUCCUCCUUCCUGAUGAGCCGUAAUGCCAUUAAUUUGGUGUUGCGGGGAAUCUGGACUGUUACUUUGAAAAAAUUAGAGUGUUUAAAGCAAGCUAACGCUUGAAUACAUUAGCAUGGAAUAAUGGGAUAGGACGUUCGAUCCUAUUUUGUUGGUUUCUAGGAUUGACGUAAUGAUUAAUAGGGAUAGUUGGGGGCAUUAGUAUUCAAUUGUCAGAGGUGAAAUUCUUGGAUUUAUUGAAGACUAACUACUGCGAAAGCAUUUGCCAAGGAUGUUUUCAUUAAUCAAGAACGAAAGUUAGGGGAUCGAAGACGAUCAGAUACCGCCGUAG
This 450-nucleotide ribosomal RNA is filed under the name uncultured Glomeromycotina. RNAcentral's name for it is "SSU rRNA". It matches the Rfam family "Eukaryotic small subunit ribosomal RNA", at positions 569 to 1023 of the family's 1831-position model. The record is from RNAcentral. Lineage: Eukaryota; Fungi; Glomeromycota.